This 69-nucleotide transfer RNA is filed under the name Rattus norvegicus (Norway rat). It matches the Rfam family "tRNA". Rfam says of the family: Transfer RNA (tRNA) molecules are approximately 80 nucleotides in length. Their secondary structure includes four short double-helical elements and three loops (D, anti-codon, and T loops). Further hydrogen bonds mediate the characteristic L-shaped molecular structure. tRNAs have two regions of fundamental functional importance: the anti-codon, which is responsible for specific mRNA codon recognition, and the 3' end, to which the tRNAs corresponding amino acid is attached (by aminoacyl-tRNA synthetases). tRNAs cope with the degeneracy of the genetic code in two manners: having more than one tRNA (with a specific anti-codon) for a particular amino acid; and 'wobble' base-pairing, i.e. permitting non-standard base-pairing at the 3rd anti-codon position. The record is from Rfam by way of RNAcentral. Lineage: Eukaryota; Metazoa; Chordata; Mammalia; Rodentia; Muridae.
GGGGAUUUAGCUCAGUGGUAGAGUGCUUGCCUAUAAAGCACAAGACCCUGGGUUCGGUCCCCAGCUCUG